Molecule: ribosomal RNA, 566 nt
Filed under: Serratia sp. (in: enterobacteria)
Lineage: Bacteria; Pseudomonadati; Pseudomonadota; Gammaproteobacteria; Enterobacterales; Yersiniaceae
Description: bacterial SSU rRNA
Rfam family: Bacterial small subunit ribosomal RNA
Source: RNAcentral
AUUAAUGUCUGGGUAACUGCCUGAUGGAGGGGGAUAUCUACUGGAAACGGUACCUAAUACCGCUUAACGUCGCAAGACCAUGGAGGGGGACCUUCGGGCCUCUUGCCAUCAUAUGUGCCCACAUGGGAUUAGCUUCUUAGGUGGGGUAAUGGCUCACCUAGGCCACGAUCCCUAUCUGGUCUGAGAGGAUGACCAACCACACUGGAACUGAGACACGGUCCAAACUCCUACGGGAGGCAGCACUGGGGAAUAUUGCACAAUGGGCGCAAGCCUGAUGCAGCCAUGCCCCGUGUGUGAAGAAGGCCUUCGGGUUGUAAAGCACUUUCACCGAGGAUGAAUGUGGGGAACUUAAUACGUUCAUCCAUGACGUUUAUCGCAGAACAAGCACCGUGUAACUCCGUGCCACCAACCGCGGUAAUACGGAGGGUGCAAGCGUUCAUCGGAAUUACUGGGCGUAUAGCUCACGCACGGGGUAUGUUAAGUCUGAUGUGAAAUCCCCGGGCUCCAACUGGGAACUGCAUUUGAAACUGGCUAGCUAGAGUCUCCUAGAGGGGGGGUAGAAUUCC